This 253-nucleotide ribosomal RNA is filed under the name uncultured bacterium. RNAcentral's name for it is "partial 16S ribosomal RNA". It matches the Rfam family "Bacterial small subunit ribosomal RNA", at positions 524 to 776 of the family's 1533-position model. The record is from RNAcentral.
UACGUAGGGUGCAAGCGUUAAUCGGAAUUACUGGGCGUAAAGCGUGCGCAGGCGGCUUUGCAAGACAGAUGUGAAAUCCCCGGGCUCAACCCGGGAACUGCGUCUGAUACUGGAGGGCUUGAAUCCGGGAGAUGGAUGUGGAAUUCCAGGUGUAGCGGUGAAAUGCGUAGAUAUCUGGAGGAACACCGGUGGCGAAGGCGGCAUCCUGGACCGGUAUUGACGCUGAGGCGCGAAAGCCAGGGGAGCAAACGGG